Molecule: long non-coding RNA, 720 nt
Filed under: Malus domestica (apple)
Lineage: Eukaryota; Viridiplantae; Streptophyta; Magnoliopsida; Rosales; Rosaceae
Description: long non-coding RNA (MDOM_LNC013722)
Source: RNAcentral
GCCCGCACUCAUGUGCUAUGACCCAAACACCGGUGCAAACACAGCCCUGAACAUACCAGUAAAUAGGCCAUGCCAAGAAGGAGAGAGGUUGAGAGAGAUUCUGGAUGUAGGUGGAAGCAAUGUAGUAAAGGAUGGAAACAAUGGCGAGGUCAUAAAAGACAUAGGAGAAGGAGCGGAUGACAGAGCGCUGAAAACAAUGAGGUGGGAUGGCUUUCUUGACCUCGCCGAGGCUGAACGGAGGCUUUGUGUACGGAACUCGCUUGACAGUGUCGGCUUCAGCAAUUUUACGCACACGGAGUGCAGUCAUAUUUCCACCGGCACCCAUUAUUCACAAAUUCCUCCUGAUAAAACCCUGAAAGUGAAUAGUACAGAAACGAUAAGACACCACAAAAGUUACAUGAAAAAAUACGACCAACAAAUCAAGAUAUUGUAGUUCGAAGCCUAACACGACAACCACUCAAAUUUGGAACGCAAAAGUAAACGGACCAAAACAAACGUUCACAGGCAAGAGGAAUAUCCAAAAAAAUCCAACGUAUACAGCUAUAGGAGCAAUUACAAGCCCAAACAAAAUUUGACCUAAGUUAGUGCCGCUUCCAUUAACCAGUGGAAACCUACGGACAAAGGUUUUCCAUCCAUUAUUUUGGUAAAUAUAUUAUCUAAUAUUAGCAAAGACGGAGACAGAAAUACCAACAAGUUGAUACAAUGAGCUCUAAAUAAAAC